RNAcentral lists this ribosomal RNA (1506 nucleotides) under Limosilactobacillus reuteri. RNAcentral describes it as "bacterial SSU rRNA". It matches the Rfam family "Bacterial small subunit ribosomal RNA". The record is from RNAcentral. Lineage: Bacteria; Bacillati; Bacillota; Bacilli; Lactobacillales; Lactobacillaceae.
AGGUGCGCCGCGUGUGCCUAAUACAUGCAAGUCGUACGCACUGGCCCAACUGAUUGAUGGUGCUUGCACCUGAUUGACGAUGGAUCACCAGUGAGUGGCGGACGGGUGAGUAACACGUAGGUAACCUGCCCCGGAGCGGGGGAUAACAUUUGGAAACAGAUGCUAAUACCGCAUAACAACAAAAGCCGCAUGGCUUUUGUUUGAAAGAUGGCUUUGGCUAUCACUCUGGGAUGGACCUGCGGUGCAUUAGCUAGUUGGUAAGGUAACGGCUUACCAAGGCGAUGAUGCAUAGCCGAGUUGAGAGACUGAUCGGCCACAAUGGAACUGAGACACGGUCCAUACUCCUACGGGAGGCAGCAGUAGGGAAUCUUCCACAAUGGGCGCAAGCCUGAUGGAGCAACACCGCGUGAGUGAAGAAGGGUUUCGGCUCGUAAAGCUCUGUUGUUGGAGAAGAACGUGCGUGAGAGUAACUGUUCACGCAGUGACGGUAUCCAACCAGAAAGUCACGGCUAACUACGUGCCAGCAGCCGCGGUAAUACGUAGGUGGCAAGCGUUAUCCGGAUUUAUUGGGCGUAAAGCGAGCGCAGGCGGUUGCUUAGGUCUGAUGUGAAAGCCUUCGGCUUAACCGAAGAAGUGCAUCGGAAACCGGGCGACUUGAGUGCAGAAGAGGACAGUGGAACUCCAUGUGUAGCGGUGGAAUGCGUAGAUAUAUGGAAGAACACCAGUGGCGAAGGCGGCUGUCUGGUCUGCAACUGACGCUGAGGCUCGAAAGCAUGGGUAGCGAACAGGAUUAGAUACCCUGGUAGUCCAUGCCGUAAACGAUGAGUGCUAGGUGUUGGAGGGUUUCCGCCCUUCAGUGCCGGAGCUAACGCAUUAAGCACUCCGCCUGGGGAGUACGACCGCAAGGUUGAAACUCAAAGGAAUUGACCAGGGGGCCCGCACAAGCGGUGGAGCAUGUGGUUUAAUUCGAAGCUACGCGAAGAACCUUACCAGGUCUUGACAUCUUGCGCUAACCUUAGAGAUAAGGCGUUCCCUUCGGGGACGCAAUGACAGGUGGUGCAUGGUCGUCGUCAGCUCGUGUCGUGAGAUGUUGGGUUAAGUCCCGCAACGAGCGCAACCCUUGUUACUAGUUGCCAGCAUUAAGUUGGGCACUCUAGUGAGACUGCCGGUGACAAACCGGAGGAAGGUGGGGACGACGUCAGAUCAUCAUGCCCCUUAUGACCUGGGCUACACACGUGCUACAAUGGACGGUACAACGAGUCGCAAGCUCGCGAGAGUAAGCUAAUCUCUUAAAGCCGUUCUCAGUUCGGACUGUAGGCUGCAACUCGCCUACACGAAGUCGGAAUCGCUAGUAAUCGCGGAUCAGCAUGCCGCGGUGAAUACGUUCCCGGGCCUUGUACACACCGCCCGUCACACCAUGGGAGUUUGUAACGCCCAAAGUCGGGGCCUAACUUUAGGAGGGAGCCGCUAAGGCGGACAGGAUCGUUCGACUUUUUGUUCCCGCCC